This 201-nucleotide long non-coding RNA is filed under the name Pelobates cultripes (western spadefoot toad). Lineage: Eukaryota; Metazoa; Chordata; Amphibia; Anura; Pelobatidae. The record is from RNAcentral.
AUAUACCCGUGUAUAAGUCGAUCUCAUGUAUAAGUCGAGUGCAGUUUUGUGACCAACAAUUGUGAAAUAUGCUAUGCCUCGUGGAUAAGUCAAGGGUAAAACUUGGGGCUAUGAAAUUCUGUGAUUUUUAUAAUUAUAUACACACACACUCAUACAAACACACACACUGCAUUAUAUACACACACUCAUACAAACACACAC